CAACGCCGGCCGUCGCCGACGCCGUCGUCGUCGUCGUCGUUCGCCCGUCGUCGUUCAACGAGACUCGUCUCUUUCCCUGUCUCUGCCCGCCGCCGAGCUGCUCCCCGCGGAUCUUUUCACGUCGCCGAGGCUUCGGCGCCCGGCGACGAAGGACGACGCGGGCGCGGCAGCAAGUGCAUCUCUUUUGCGACGAAUGCGUUGCCCGACAUCGCGGUGUAAUCAGACACCGGUACGAGGGGGAUGGGAGCGCGGGAGGGAGAGACGCAGAGACUGAGGGACGUAAACGUAAUUGGAAACAUCCGAGAGGGAGAUUCGCCACACGCUUCUGAUCCGCGCCGCGCGCGGUUCGCCUGUUUCCAUUCUCCCUUCGGGCCGUUCGCCGCAACGUAACGCAAGCGCCAUAUCUCCGCUUUUUCUCGCGUCCUAUCUGCUAACUUUCGCGUCUCUCGGCCGGACAACGGACAAUUCACGGGAAUGUAUCAUUUCCCUGGGAAAAAUAUUAUCUCACGAUGCUAUCGACUAUUAAAAAAAAAAGAUCCUCGAUGAUGAAAAUCCUAAUAAAUGCUGGAAAAUCGCGUUCGACAUUAUCGCCGGUUAAAAACGAUCGCAAUUAAUUAGUGCUAAAAGCGAGACACGGAAUACGCGCUAUAAUUACGCGGUUUUCCGGUUAUUAUUAAUGUGUUUAUCUUUUUUAUGCGACUUCAAAGAUAUUUUAUAUUUACGCGAGAGACAUCAUCUUACGAAACGUGGCUGCGGAGAGAAAAGCGCGCUUUCUUUGUGACGACGUUUACAAUUACGUACGUGCGGCUUUGUAAAUGGCAGGGCGCGCGCGCCACGCAUGAUUAAGCAGAGCCCGGCGAUAAUGCGCUGCGUGCGGCUCUCCGGCGUAAAGAAGGUGUAAAUACCUCCCGAUGAUUCCUCGUAGGAUCGAAGCGGAUCGCGCAAAGGGAGCCGACACGGAGGCGGCUCCUUUCUCGUCGAUAGUUUCAAUGGAGAGUUUUUCUCAUAGAGCCAGUCGCCCCCCUACUCUACCUCUCUCUUUCUCUCUCUCUUUUGCUCUCGCUCUUUUCUGCCGUUCCCCUUCGUGCCGAUGUACGCGUGUACACGGAGAACGAUAAAAAAGACGAGAUCUCAAAAGGUACGCGGAGCACCGCCUCUGAUGAAUGCCGCAACCAGUUGGCCACCAUGUUUUCCCUCCGCCGGUGUAUGUACGCCCUACUCUCCGAAACAUCCCCUGUGCCGCGUCCCUCCGUGUGCCGACUUUCCAACCCCUCGCAAAACCGCGAUUGAACCCUUGUACAUCCAGCGCGUAUACUGCGUACUGCGGCGUCCAGAGGUGAUUUUACGUGCGCUUUGUGAGCGGCGGGAUCGCGGGAUGGGUAACUUUUACAGUUAUCGAGCAACGCUACAGAAAAUGUACACUGACAAAUUGGAUUGCCAUCAAUGAUUUUAAAGCGGGGACGAAAGAUCAGCAGCGUGCAUCGUGAAAAGCUGCAUUUGUAUAUGUGAUAUAUAACGUGAUUGAUAAAAAUUAAAAUUUUUCAAUAGAAGAAAGAAGAUAGAAAUUGAUCAUCGUCCGAAAAAAGAGAAAAAGAAGAAAAAUGAAAAUCAAAAAGUAAUAUUUUAAAUAAAGUAAUGCUUUGAAUGGUAAUGCUUGAAAUGAAAAUGAUCCGGACAAUAAGAUAACAAUAAUCAGUAUUCUUCAAGUGAUGACUUCGAUCACAAAAUAAUAAUAUUAUAUCAUCGCGUUUAAUUGAAACAAAAAAUUCUGUCUGCGAAAAAAAGCGCUCUUCGAUUCCAUUGGUUCAUAAUACGUCGUGGUGAAUCUGGCGCGUACACGUAGAAGAAGGCAAGAAGGAUGAAAGAAGAGAAGCAGAAGACGAAGGAAGAAAAAAAAAGGAUAACGCGGGCAGAGCAAGAAAGAGAAAGCUGGCCGAUAAACAAACUGCCAAGGAUCGCGGCACUUUAAUCUUCCUUUGAAGGCAUCGGCCGCUCUUUGCGGCAUUGAAUGAAAAGAGAACAGGAGCGGGAGAGGGGUCCCGAACCCACCCCAUAUCUCUCCCUCUUCCGCGCAUUCUACCCCGCGACUCAUUAUGGCAACAUGCGGUAAGUAUGCUCGUGCUUAAGUCUCGGCGUACCCUUCGGGCGAGGGGUGCCCCAAACAGCAUCGGUAUUAGUUACAUGUAUAUAGAGCGCGUAUACAGAGCGCCGGUCGCAAAAAGCGGUGGUCGAGGGCCCCGGUACGCGACGGAGGUACCGCGUUACGGCACUGUCGAAAACCGUCGGUGGCCGGGGACAGGGUGGAGGGUGGAGGAGAGAGAGCAUCCCUUAUUUCGCGGCGGCUCGUUGCAUGGAUCGGCGCAUCCGAAUAGUCUCUCCACUCCCUUGAUCCGGGGGUUCCAGGUGGUUCCUUUGCCCCCCUCCCGCCUUCCGGACAUACUCUUAAAAAUUAGGUAUCGUGGAUACCAAAGCCGAUGGUACGCGUUUCACAGCUGCAACGGGAUAGAAACGGCCAGCAAGCCGCGCGUGUCUCCACCUUUGUCCUUCUUUUGCUUUAGUCAUUGUAUUCAUUGUAUUUUCUUAAUUCUGGCAGUUUAGCUAUGAAUCUAAACCGUAGAAAUGUAUUUAAGAUUAUGUUCAACUCGAUUCAAUAUAUAUCUAAAAUGACUUUUCAUAAAACACAAUCUAAAGGAAUUAAUGAAUAGUAAAUUAUUUACAUUACGUAAUUAUAGCUUAUAGAAACUUUAAAAAGAUAUUUAAAAAGUAUCUCAUAAAAUAUCAAGCAGUUCAUAAAAAGAAUCGCAUAAACCCGAAGUCGGAUUAUAUUUUCGUUUAUUACUGACUUUACAAAAACGAAACAUAAACGAGAGAGCUUUCGCAAGCUCAGCCUUUUGCAGUUGGAAUAUGUUGACGAAAGCCCAUAACUUUUUCUGCAGAACUUUCGUCGAAACUUGCAGUUCUGCAACUCGAAAUAAAUCUUUGUACAUCUCAAUAUCUUUAUAACCGAAUAAUUCCUGCGGAAAAAUACUUGUUCGUGAAACAUUUCUACUAAACAAACUGAAUUGUAAACCGAACGGGGUCCGCAUUUAGCCACACAAAUGUAGGAUGCGUGUGAAUUCCAUUCUGUCGGUCUCGCUACUUCGAGUAACAAUUUAGCGCUUAAGUUCUCAGAGAGUGCGAUCAGGUAAGGGAAGAAGGAGAGCCGCAGAGCAGCGUGGUACCAGGACCCGAAGAUAAUCCCGACGGUGAUGGCGACCGGUGCCGACGUGAUGGGACUUACCCCACCCCUCGCGCGGAGUGCCAACCCCUCGAGUAAGAGGCAACGAUACCGCCGAGGUCUGAAAGGCCGCUGCGAAUAACGCGCUUACGCGCGAUCAUCCGACCGCGAGUCUCGAUGCCCGUGACAGAUCGUGCCGCGGCCGGCGUCCUUGUGAAUAUCGCGGGGACUAAAGCCCGUACUAAAGAGCGAAAAGGGGCGGAGGGAGGGCACUAAGUCUUUCGUGGAUGGCCGGGCGCGCGCACACCGCCGGCGCGACAAUACGGUGUAGAUUACUUUUCAGAAUGGGCGGCGUGACGUAAACACGCUCCGGCGGUUUUUUCUUCGCGAACAAUGCUGUGUUUGCCGACACAAUUUGUCUCGGAUUUAGGUGCAUCGGCAGAAAUGCGUGCGCCUAUAUAGAUGCCUAGAUGUUGAGCGAUGCGCAUCAAGCUUCGAAAAUCUGCACUCACGGUCGCUUAUAUUGGCGAACGUUAAACUUUUUCCUGACGCAUUGUUGAAAUAAAUAACGCGUAAAAAUAAUUAGCAUUGUGUUGAUUACCCAUUGUUGUUGAUUAAAGAAUUCAACGAACUAGAUAAUAUUUUUCGCUGUGGAAUAUAUAAAUAAUUAUCUGGCUGUUGUGUAUAAUGUAUAUUUUUUAAUUCUUUUUAGUUUCAUCGUUUCUAGGUACUGAGCUAUAUUCUACUAUAGCAUAGCCUCUUAGAAAUGCAGCCGUAGUUGAGCCGGUUUGGUAGCUGAGAGAGCUCAUUAUACUAUGAGUAAUAUUACCUCACGCGGUAUAAUAUUAACGCGGGCGUCUCAAGAACUUGGAAAAGGGUCGAGCAACGCGUCGCGAUCGAGAUUGAUUUGAUCUACCGCCGACAGGGUGGCAGGCGAAAUGAUAUGCCCUGAAUAUUGGGGUCUGAUGAAGGCUUCUCAAAUGUCGUGUUGGACUUGGACAGCGAGCAACCAGAAAGGAAGAAAAAGAGGGAAAAGGAAACAAAGAAGGUAGAGAGAGAGAGAGAGAGAGAGAGAGAGAGAGAGAGAGAGAGAGAAAGAUAGAGACUUGAUUGAAAUAGAAUAGGAGACUAAGCGAGAAGGACGCAUUCCUAGACGGCUUACCGGGAUAGACACACCGCGUCGGCCGUCGCACGUUUUCUCAUACCCAAAGGUAGCGGAUUUGUUUCUUCUUCUUAUCCGAUCUCUUGGAGCAAGAGCUCCUUGCUUGCAGAUUGCGACCCUGCCGUACAAAGGCACUCCGAAGACGCAACGUCUCUAGUGUCAUCUUCGAAGAACUCGGAAUUAUGUGAUACUGUUGCUUCUUUCUUUCCAAUGAACUUGCCAGGCAGCUAAAAUAUAACUUUAUACAAAAAAUGAAUCGAUCAACAAUAAUCCUUGUAUACUUUUUAUAUUCUUACGUUAAAUACUCCUAGCAUGAUGAAUAUCUUAUUGUUAUUUGUAGAAAUGUGCAAUACCAAUAAAAAUCUCAUUUUUGAGACACA
Temnothorax curvispinosus is the source of this 4759-nucleotide long non-coding RNA. RefSeq lists it as uncharacterized. Lineage: Eukaryota; Metazoa; Arthropoda; Insecta; Hymenoptera; Formicidae. The transcript is spliced from 2 exons. The record is from RefSeq and is a predicted model, not a curated record.